CAUGCAAGUCGAGCGGCAGCACGGGUACUUGUACCUGGUGGCGAGCGGCGGACGGGUGAGUAAUGCCUAGGAAUCUGCCUGGUAGUGGGGGAUAACGUUCGGAAACGAACGCUAAUACCGCAUACGUCCUACGGGAGAAAGCAGGGGACCUUCGGGCCUUGCGCUAUCAGAUGAGCCUAGGUCGGAUUAGCUAGUUGGUGAGGUAAUGGCUCACCAAGGCGACGAUCCGUAACUGGUCUGAGAGGAUGAUCAGUCACACUGGAACUGAGACACGGUCCAGACUCCUACGGGAGGCAGCAGUGGGGAAUAUUGGACAAUGGGCGAAAGCCUGAUCCAGCCACGCCGCGUGUGUGAAGAAGGUCUUCGGAUUGUAAAGCACUUUAAGUUGGGAGGAAGGGCAUUUACCUAAUACGUAAGUGUUUUGACGUUACCGACAGAAUAAGCACCGGCUAACUCUGUGCCAGCAGCCGCGGUAAUACAGAGGGUGCAAGCGUUAAUCGGAAUUACUGGGCGUAAAGCGCGCGUAGGUGGUUCGUUAAGUUGGAUGUGAAAUCCCCGGGCUCAACCUGGGAACUGCAUCCAAAACUGGCGAGCUAGAGUAUGGUAGAGGGUGGUGGAAUUUCCUGUGUAGCGGUGAAAUGCGUAGAUAUAGGAAGGAACACCAGUGGCGAAAGCGACCACCUGGACUGAUACUGACACUGA
This 702-nucleotide ribosomal RNA is filed under the name uncultured bacterium. RNAcentral describes it as "bacterial SSU rRNA". It matches the Rfam family "Bacterial small subunit ribosomal RNA", at positions 54 to 749 of the family's 1533-position model. The record is from RNAcentral.